This is a long non-coding RNA of Pristis pectinata (smalltooth sawfish), 1778 nucleotides long. RefSeq lists it as uncharacterized. Lineage: Eukaryota; Metazoa; Chordata; Chondrichthyes; Rhinopristiformes; Pristidae. The transcript is spliced from 3 exons. The record is from RefSeq and is a predicted model, not a curated record.
GGCUCCUGUAUCUUCUGCCUGAUGGGAGAGGAGAGAAGAGAGAAUGACCCAGUCCGUGGUUCAAACUCGGAGGGUGAGGUGGAGCUUUGUGCUUGGCUUCAUGAGGGUUGACAUCAUCCAACAGCAGUACAGCACAAAAAAGGGAAUAACGAGGUAGUGUUCAUGGGUUCAUGGACCGUUCAGAAAUUUGACGGCGGAGGGGAAGAAGCUGUUCCUGAAUCAUUGAGUGUGGGCCUUCAGGCUCCUGUACCUCCUCCCCGAUGGUAGUAACGAGAAGAGGGCAUGUCCCAGAUGGUGAGGGUCCUUAGUGAUGGAUGCCACCUUCUUGAGUCACCGCCUCUUGAAGAUGUCCUCGACGAAUUUUAAAUAAAGUGUGCUAACUAACAUCCAAUAAUCCGGAAGAUCCACUAGUCCGACACCCACCAACUUCUGUGUGCCGAAUUAACGGAGUUUAUGUUACUGCUUUUAUUUAUUUCUUCCAAGGUGUGUGGGUGUUAACAGCGAAGGCAAGUGUUUGCCUUGUCUACAAUCUCUAGGGUCACAUUCUGGCCACACCAGUGGAUAUCAGUGAAUUACAUGGGCUUUUACCACAAUCCAGUAGUUUCCUGGUCACUGAGGUUGGAUUUACAGUCCUGGCUUUUAUUGAAUUAACUUCUUAAAUUCCGCCACUGACACAAUUUGAACUCGCCUUCAAUCAGUCUGCAGGAAUUUAGCUUUGGUCUACUGAGUUGUGAUUGGAUGCAAUAUUCCACUUAUCAUCUGCCCCAGCCAUUAGGACGUUGUCCUCUGCCCCACACUGAGUGUCCCAUCAGCGUUCUCCUGGUGGCUUGCAACUGGACGUGAAAUGUGAGUGAGCUGUCACAGACUCACUGAGAUCCUCUUCAACUGCCUUCCCUGUUGGUCCAUAGGUAGAGUCAUGGGGUAGGAGAGAGGCACAGAAACACUGCCUCUGGCCCACCCCGACCAUUAAACACCCAGUUAGUCAUAGAGUACUACAGCACAGAAACAGGCCCUUCGCCCAUCUGGUCAAUGCCAACCUGAUCUCUGCCUUGUCCCAUCUACCUCCACCCAGACCAUAUCCCUCCAAACCCCUCCCAUCCAUGUACCUAUCCAAACUUCUCUUAAAUGUUACAAUUGGACCCGCAUCCACCACUUCCGCUGGCAGCUCGUUCCACACUCGCGACCGCCCUCUGAGUGAAGUAGUUCCCCCUCAGAUUCCACUUAAAUAUUUCACCUUUCACCCUAAACCUACGUCCCCUAAUUCUAGUCUCACCCAAGCCGGAAGGGAAAAAGCCUGCAUGCAUUCACCCUAUCUACACCCUUCACAUUUUGUAUACCUCUAUAAAAUCUCCUCUCAUUCUCCUGCGCUCCAGGGAUAAACUCCUAACCUAUUCAACCUUUCCCUGGUCCUCAGGUCCUCAAGUCCCGGCAACAUCCUUGUAAAUUUUCUCUGCACUCUUUCAAGCUUAUUGAUAUCUUUCCUGUAGGUAGGUGACCAGAACUGCACACAAUAUUCUAAAUUCAGCCUCACCAACGUCUUAUACAACUUCAACAUAACAUCCCAACUCCUGUACUCAAUGCCCUGAUUUAUGAAGGCCAAAGUGCCAAAUGCUCUCUUUACGACCCUAUCUACCUGUGACGCCACUUUCAAGGAACAAUGGAUCUGUAUUCCCAGGUCCCUCUGUUCUACCGCACACCUCACUGCCCUACCAUUCACUGUGUAAGUCUUACCCUGGUUUGUGCUCCCAAAGUGCAUCACCUCACACUUGUCUGCAUUA